RNAcentral lists this ribosomal RNA (1052 nucleotides) under uncultured bacterium. RNAcentral's name for it is "bacterial SSU rRNA". It matches the Rfam family "Bacterial small subunit ribosomal RNA", at positions 56 to 1139 of the family's 1533-position model. The record is from RNAcentral.
UGCAGUCGACGGGCUCUUCGGAGCUAGUGGCGGACGGGUGAGUAACACGUGAGAAUCUGGCUCCCGGUCGGGGACAACAGAGGGAAACUUCUGCUAAUCCCGGAUGAGCCGAAAGGUAAAAGAUUUAUCGCCGGGAGAUGAGCUCGCGUCUGAUUAGCUAGUUGGUGGGGUAAUGGCCUACCAAGGCAAUGAUGCGUAGCCGAGCUGAGAGGCUGAUCGGCCACACUGGAACUGAGACACGGUCCAGACUCCUACGGGAGGCAGCAGUUAGGGAUAUUCGGCAAUGGACGAAAGUCUGACCGAGCAAUGCCGCGUGAAUGAAGAAGUAUUUCGAUAUGUAAAGUUCUGUUGUAAGGGAAGAAUGGUCGUGAUAGGAAAUGAUCACGAUUUGACGGUACCUUACCAGAAAGCCCCGGCUAACUACGUGCCAGCAGCCGCGGUAAUACGUAGGGGGCGAGCGUUAUCCGGAUUUAUUGGGCGUAAAGGGUGCGUAGGCGGCCUUACAAGUCUGAGUUGAAAGCCCACGGCUUAACCGUGGAGGGUGCUCGGAAACUGUAAGGCUUGAAUCCAGAAGAGGCAAGUAGAAUUCUAUGUGGAGCGGUGGAAUGCGUAGAUAUAUGGAGGAAUACCAGUGGCGAAGGCGGCUUGCUGGUCUGGGAUUGACGCUGAGGCACGAAAGCGUGGGGAGCAAACAGGAUUAGAUACCCUGGUAGUCCACGCCGUAAACGAUGAGUACUAGGUGUCGGGGAGACUCGGUGCCGAACAAAACUAAUUAAGUACUCCGCCUGGGGAUUACGGCCGCAAGGUUGAAACUCAAAGGAAUUGACGGGUACCCGCACAAGCGGUGGAGCAUGUGGUUUAAUUCGAAGCAACCCGAAGAACCUUACCAGGUCUUGACAUACCGGUGACAACUCUAGAGAUAGAGCCUUCCUUCGGGACACCGGAUACAGGUGGUGCAUGGUUGUCGUCAGCUCGUGUCGUGAGAUGUUGGGGUUAAGUCCCGCAACGAGCGCAACCCUUCGUCUUUUGUUGCUAACAUUCAGUUGAGGACU